This 551-nucleotide ribosomal RNA is filed under the name Salmonella enterica subsp. enterica serovar Typhi. RNAcentral's name for it is "bacterial SSU rRNA". It matches the Rfam family "Bacterial small subunit ribosomal RNA", at positions 932 to 1533 of the family's 1533-position model. Lineage: Bacteria; Pseudomonadati; Pseudomonadota; Gammaproteobacteria; Enterobacterales; Enterobacteriaceae. The record is from RNAcentral.
GUGGGAGCAUGUGGUUUAAUUUGAUGCAACGCGAAGAACCUUACCUGGUCUUGACAUCCACAGAACUUUCCAGAGAUGGAUUGGUGCCUUCGGGAACUGUGAGACAGGUGCUGCAUGGCUGUCGUCAGCUCGUGUUGUGAAAUGUUGGGUUAAGUCCCGCAACGAGCGCAACCCUUAUCCUUUGUUGCCAGCGGUCCGGCCGGGAACUCAAAGGAGACUGCCAGUGAUAAACUGGAGGAAGGUGGGGAUGACGUCAAGUCAUCAUGGCCCUUACGACCAGGGCUACACACGUGCUACAAUGGCGCAUACAAAGAGAAGCGACCUCGUGAGAGCAAGCGGACCUCAUAAAGUGCGUCGUAGUCCGGAUUGGAGUUUGCAACUCGACUCCAUGAAGUCGGAAUCGCUAGUAAUCGUGGAUCAGAAUGCCAAGGGGAAUACGUUCCCGGGCCUUGUACACACCUCUCUUCACAACAUGGGAGUGGGUUGCAAAAGAAGUAGGUAGGUUAACCUCCGGGGGGGGCGCUUUAAACCAACUUUGGGUAUUACCCCGG